Molecule: unclassified non-coding RNA, 164 nt
Organism: Chelonoidis abingdonii (Abingdon island giant tortoise)
Lineage: Eukaryota; Metazoa; Chordata; Testudines; Testudinidae
Source: Ensembl
UUGACAGUCCUAGAAAACGGUGUCCUCUGUUUAUUCACAGAACAGGCGUAGCACAGGAUGUGACAGAACAAGCUUCCCCAUGCUGCCCUGCCAGUAUGCCUCACAGCCAAUCUGGAGUAUGAGAGGAUAAUUCAGUCUCUAUGCCCAUUCAGUACUUGGCCCCC